GAAGGUCGAUUGGUAAAACAUAUUUCAACUCUCUCCUCUCUCUCUCUCUCGCUAGGGUUUUGUUUUUCAUCGAUUGCACGAAAAAUUCCCCAAUUGGUCGUAUCUAUUCGAUCGAAAUGGAAAAUGGUGGCGGAGAUUUGGAGGCGAAAAUUGGGAUGUUGCUGAAUGUGGAGAAGCAGAUGAGGCAAGUAGGUGAUGUUGCAGAUACGAGGAAGGCCGUCACACCUCUUGCAAUUCUUCUUGUUACACCUCAAACAAUGCCCCUCAUUUUCUCCCUCCAAGAAAGCGAAAGCCGGCGAAGGAGAGACGCCGCAGUUCCGUCCUCCCACCGCCAAAAUACCCUCACCCAACCCCACCAUCAAACCAUUUCCCUUCUCCUCUGUUCACUUCUCCGAGGAAAAAAGUUAAAGAAAGCAGGUGAAGUUCAUGGUGGUAUGGCCGACUCAAGGUUCGAAUGUGAGGAGACGCGGAUGCGGAUGUGGGUACAAAUCCAAGAAAGGAAAGCCCCCUGGUAAAAACCCUUAAACCACCGUUUUCUCCCCAUCAUCAAACCCCGCCCACACUCACAUGGUGAAACCCUCUCACCUUCAUUUCUUUUUUCUUGUGUUCAUUUCUCACCCAAAAAACAGAGUAAAGAAAACCAAGAAAAGCAGGGGGAGGGGGGGGGGAGACAGAGCGAGAAGGAGGCCUCAAAUUAUGGUUUGGGAUUACACUGGUUUUGGAUAUACAAGGUACAAUGCAGAGACAUUAACAAAGAAAUACUAGGGUGUUAGAGGCGUUUUUGGCUCCAGGAUCGGAAUUAUGGAUGCUCAACGAGGUUCCUGAAAAGGACCGAGAAAAGAAGUUAACAGAUGGUGGCCUUGACAUUUCAGGAUUGGUUAACUUAAAACUGGUCCAUCGUGAAGGGAAUGCAGUCAUUCGACGUCACUUGGAGAGUCUUCCACUAGAGACAUUUGAUUCUAACACAGCUUUCCAGCAGAAAAUAUAUCCUUCCAGAUUAAGCUCAAUGACCAUACAUUCAAGAUCCGCAUCAAGUCCUCAUGGAUCUUUAGCUAAAUUGGAACUUAGUGAUGGGAAUAGCUUGUACGCCAAAUUAGUGGUUGGAGCUGAUGGGUCCAAAUCACGAGUUAAGGAUUUAGCGGGAAUAAAUCCAACUGGAUGGAAAUAUUCUCAGAAUGCAAUUAUAUGUACUGUAGAGCAUAUGGAGGAAAACCAUUGUGCUUGGCAAUGUUUUCUCCCUAAUGGCCCUAUUGCACUUCUGCCAAUUGGGGACAAUUUCAGCAAUAUCGUCUGGACAAUGACCCCUGAAGAGUCAUUGAACCGCAAAUCCAUGUCAGAAGUUGAUUUUGUGAGAGAAAUAGAUCGUGCUCUUGACAAUGGCUAUGGCCCACAUCCAAAUUCUCAACUGUUUGGUGGCAGAGCUGCAUUCUCUUGGCUCACUGGAGACACAACAGUAUCCGCCAAUGAGUGUUUUGAAGUUCCUCCCAGAGUGACUAAAGUAGCAUCUGAAAGAAUGGUGUUUCCACUGUCUCUGAAUCACAUUAAAACGUGUUGUUCUUAUCGGUGAUGCUGCACACACUGUUCAUCCUUUGGCUGGUCAAGGAGUUAAUAUGGGAUUUGGAGAUGCAUUCUCUCUUUGAAAGGUUAUUGCUGAAGGCAUUGCAGUUGGAUCUGAUAUUGGGGAGGACGUGAACAUUUAUCUAAAUCAUGAGCGUUCCAUGGUUGCUUAAGUGUCAUUGCUAAGAGGAUAUGAAUCAGACAGGAGACCUGCAAACUUGACAAUGGUGGCAAUUCUGGAUGGCUUUCAGAAGGCAUAUUCCGUUGAUUUCAGACCACUCAAUGUACUGAAACGCUGCUGCAUUCCAAGGGGCUCAUUAUAUUUCACCAUUGAAAAGGCAAAUAAUCUCGUAUGCAUCUGGUAACCAAGCUUGUACACUCGUUUAAGGAAGGUUCGGAGGAAUGGUCCAAGAAGGCGGUAGAGCUUGAGGAGUCAUGAAGACUUUAGAAGUAAGUUCUAUUUGUAAUUUAUUUAUCCAACAAUGGCGAAUGAUGCACACUACACUAAUUCCUCUUCUGAACAUGCAGUUUGGUUGUGGAAUUUCAAAAUUAUCUGUUUUUCUUAUGUCCAUGCAUGCUGGACGCGAAUGGAAGGUGUAUGAGGUGGCAAAGACGGUCUUUGAAAACAAUUACACAGAAACUAGAAAGUCUUUGCAAAGUGAUAACGGUGGUAAAAGUUGAUCAUUUUCUUGGCUUUCACUCUUCAUUUCAUCCAUCAAGCAUUCCUUUAUAUGUUUGCAUUGUUUGCCUUGAGUUCUUGAUAUUUAUAAUCUACAUUAUGGGGUUGUGAUUUUCUUUUAAUCUAUGGCAAGUUUGUUCCUUUGAUAAAUAGUGUUGGAUGCUUUUUUAGUGGUUUCCAAUUACUUUAGUACUGUGGUGUGGGUGUUUCUCAUCUUGUUUAAUUUGGUUGUGCUUUUAUGUUAUCUCAUUCAAGUAAACGAUGUGUAUUGUUCUUUGUGGUAUAUCAAGCUCUGUGAGACAUUUUGUUGUCGGGAUGUCUGUAAUUGUUUAGCAUUUUAGGAUUAGACUCUUGGUUCAAUUGAAAUUACAUGAAACUUCUCAUAUUCUAAUUUUGAUUUGAACAGCCCAAUUCACCUUCCAAAUGAGAUAAAACCAUUUCAAAAGUAAAGAAUUCCAUGACAUAUAUGUAGUGUUAAUUAACACAUAGGAACCAGAGGGUAACUUUUUUUUAAAUUUUUAUUCAUCUUUUGUUAUCCUAUCAAACUACUUUUGUUUUGUUUUCUUUUGCCAGUUACUAUCAAACUACUUCUGUUUAUAUUCUUUUUUAGUAAUUUGACAAAUAAAUGUGAUUUAGGAAGUCAUAAGAUUGAGACAUGAAUGUGCACUAGUGUUAUGUGAUUGUUGCUUUGAUUAACUGUGGAGUCGUUGAGGCAUAAUUUCAUGCAUUUUGAAUUGCUUUGAAAGAGAGUUGGAAUAUCUUUGCUUCUACUAAAUCUUAGGAUUCUUGUGAGAUUAUAUUUGUUUGCUAAAACUCUACCCGAUUGAUCCUUAUAUCCCUAACAUGGGACAUGCAUCCAUUUUGAAAAAUUCAAAGGCCCUUCCCCUUCCAGAAAAAAAAGAAAGAAAGAAAGAAAAGUAAGAAAAAGGAAAUUACAUCUACUCCGCUGGUUUAGGUCACUUAGUAACUGGGUAACUUCAUCACAAAUGUUGUUAUUCACGUAAAACGGUGGCCGGAGCUAUGAGUAUGCAAAGCACUUUAGGUAAAACGUCUUUUGGUUGAGUAACCGGGUGCCUUCACCACAAGUGUUGUCAUUCGCGUCAAAAGACUGGAAAACGGCCUAAAGAACACAAGUCACGGGCAAAAACAAAAGAAAAAAAAGAAAAAAAAGCCGUGACUAAAGCAAAAGGGGAAGAAAAAAGAAAAAAAUUCAUUAGUGGCCAAAGAAAAGAAAGAAAAGCGAAAUCCGUCCCGACUAGGUCGAUGUAAGGAGAUAAAAGGGUAUUGUGCUAGCAUCGAGGAUGAUAACAUUUAGAAACCCAUAGAUUUUGUGGAAGCUUGAUUGCCCUCCUCUAUACUUGGCAAAACGAAGUGUUGUGAUGUGAUUGGCCUCUUACCCUCGUUAUGAGAAGUUAGCAUUUGCGUAAUGUAUUGCGGCAUUUGUGUUUUGAGAUUAUGUGCACAUAGUAUUUCAUUCUGUUGGAGGCAAUAACUUUAAAGACAUUGCGGCAGUCCUUUCUUUUCUUUAUUGAUUUAUUAAAAAAUUGUCACAUUUCUUUGUGCUGAAAUUUUUUUGUGUAAAAUCCUCUACUUUAGGCAUGCCUUUUCUUAUGUGACUACUAUUUUUGGUUGGGAGGAGGAGGAGAUAGAUUCUGGCCUUGUAUUUAUUGUAACAAUAUUUAAAUUCUAUAUUAUUAUAGUUUUCUUUAAUCUUAAUGAAUUAUUCCCUUUAGAUUGCCAUCCCAGCAGGGUGAGGGUGCAAGUUCAGUAUAUAGCAGUAGUGCAUCUUACAUGACCGCCCCUUAAAAGGAAAAUGUAUGUGCUUGCAUGUAAGAGUUAAAGAAGUCUACCAUGCUGCAUAUAGACAAGUAUUAUAAAUUUUUCACUUCUAAUCUGUACUUUACUGGCCCAUGAAUGCGGUGUAUCCAGGUAUGUGAGGUUGGGAAUCAUUGUUGACUAAUAUUGAAAAUAAAAUCAGAUUCCUUUUUUGUGUUCCAUGUUUCUUUUAAACUCUUUAAUGAAGUUCAUCAGAUAUCUUUUAGUUACAUUUGCUACACUUGAUGAGAACACCAGAUGAUGUCCCUGGAUGUGCUUCUUAGUGCUGGUGUUCCGUGGUGCAGGUGACUAUUUAUAUGCUAUCAUAUCAUAUUUAUCAUUUGUACCCUACAGUUUACAAUUGCUGGGGUCUUAUGCAGAACCCAUUUAGUUCAUUGGUAGUGCGAGCUAUUCUUUUGAGGGCCUAGGUGUGUUAGUGCUCUCCUGCAUUUAUCUUUUUAUGCUCUUGAAGUGUUGAAGGAGUAAAAUUCAAGUCCAUACUCGACAAUAGAUAUUGGGUGGUAUUGAGUUAUGAGCUCACAGCAAGGUGUUUUAAAUGAAAAAAAGAUUACAUCAUGAGAAGAAUAUAUGGAACAUAAGUACUGUAAAAAUCUUAGGUACCUUUGAGGACUUAGCAUUCUGCUAGGGAUUUUCUUAUCCAUUGAAAAUCAACACAUACAAUUAGUCACCAUCAUUUGUUAAUAUUAGGUCUGUGAACACUUUUUGUUGUUCUGCAUCUUUAGUGAUUUAAUCUUUGGUUGCAUUGUAAGUCACUCUCUUAAAUCAAUGUUUUUCUUGACUACUGGUGCAAAAAGCUCGAGAAUUUGUUGUCACUUCCCAAGAGCUUAUCACUCGGGGUUCAGUCCUGAAUAUUAUUGUGGAGAUGCUGCUGAUAUGGCUAA
This is a non-coding RNA of Sesamum indicum (sesame), 4953 nucleotides long. The record is from RefSeq and is a predicted model, not a curated record. NCBI's taxonomy places the organism in Eukaryota, Viridiplantae, Streptophyta, Magnoliopsida, Lamiales, Pedaliaceae.